UACGAAGGGAGCUAGCGUUGUUCGGAAUUACUGGGCGUAAAGGGCUCGUAGGCGGCCAACUAAGUCAGACGUGAAAUCCCCAGGCUCAACCUGGGAACUGCGUCUGAUACUGGUUGGCUUGAAUCCGGGAGAGGGAUGCAGAAUUCCAGGUGUAGCGGUGAAAUGCGUAGAUAUCUGGAGGAAUACCGGUGGCGAAGGCGGCAUCCUGGACCGGCAUUGACGCUGAGGAGCGAAAGCUAGGGGAGCAAACGGG
RNAcentral lists this ribosomal RNA (253 nucleotides) under uncultured bacterium. RNAcentral's name for it is "partial 16S ribosomal RNA". It matches the Rfam family "Bacterial small subunit ribosomal RNA", at positions 524 to 776 of the family's 1533-position model. The record is from RNAcentral.